AUAUAUUUAAAAUUCAUGACUAGUUGUUUCCAUUCAUCAUCUCAUCUAUUUCUCAUCUAAAGGCUUUGCUUAGGUGGGUAUGAAUAUGAUUACAGACAGGAAAACAGGAUGAGAAGUUGAGUGACUCAUGGCAGGCCCCAGAGCUAACCAGAAACAGGAAUAUUUGAACUUGAGUUUCCGAGAGCAUCUUCUUCCUACUCACAUUUCUUACUCAUUGCAGAAAUGAGAGAACCCAGUGAGGAGACGAGGUGACAAGGGCACAGAAUCUUGAAUGUCUUGAGAGCAGGAGGAGGAGAAGAAAACACGGUAGGAGUCAGGCUAGGAGUGUGGAUUUGGGCCAAGGCAGGACAAAAAGCCAAGGUUAAGGCUGAAAAAGCUCUCCCUGGGAGUGCCUGAACAACAGAUUAGGAUGACUGGACAGCAGGAAAGAUCAGAGGGAGAACCACCUAUGAGACAGGCUCCUCAGCGAAACUCCCAUGGGGUGACGCCUCUGGGGCUUGAACCACGAGCCCUUUGAGGGCAUUCUAGCUUGGCAGCUCUGGGGUCCUGUGAGUUCUGGUGCAGCUUCUAGAGCUGCACCUCAUCCCAGUCACCUCUCCAGUUACUAAAUUCCAUCUUCUCCCAGCUACAAAGGAGGGAAGCAGUGGAGUGCUGUGGUGACAGUGCAGACUAGGCCACUGGGUGGCCUGGGUUUGAGUCCCGGUUUCUCCUCCACUUCCUAGCCGUGACUUUGCACAACAAUUCCUCUGGUCCCUGGUUUCCUCAUCUGUGGAACGGAGCUAUAAUAGUUCUUACAUAAGGAUGGGCAUGGUG
This 813-nucleotide long non-coding RNA is filed under the name Homo sapiens (human). Its description in RNAcentral is "HSALNT0166792". Lineage: Eukaryota; Metazoa; Chordata; Mammalia; Primates; Hominidae. The record is from RNAcentral.